AGAGUGUUAAGUUAUAGUAGACUGUAGUAUUUCAAGUACUGAAGAGGGAUUACCACACUUUG
Molecule: transfer RNA, 62 nt
Filed under: Ruditapes variegatus
Lineage: Eukaryota; Metazoa; Mollusca; Bivalvia; Venerida; Veneridae
Also listed under: 1 other name
Description: tRNA-Trp
Source: RNAcentral